This 216-nucleotide ribosomal RNA is filed under the name uncultured bacterium. Its description in RNAcentral is "partial 16S ribosomal RNA". It matches the Rfam family "Bacterial small subunit ribosomal RNA", at positions 1285 to 1500 of the family's 1533-position model. The record is from RNAcentral.
GUCCCAGUUCGGAUUGUAGUCUGNAACCCGACUACAUGAAGCUGGAAUCGCUAGUAAUCGCGAAUCAGCAUGUCGCGGUGAAUACGUUCCCGGGUCUUGUACACACCGCCCGUCACACCAUGGGAGUUGGUAACGCCCGAAGUCAGUGACCUAACCGCAAGGGAGGAGCUGCCGAAGGUGGGGCCAGUAACUGGGGUGAAGUCGUAACAAGGUAGC